RNAcentral lists this ribosomal RNA (253 nucleotides) under uncultured bacterium. RNAcentral's name for it is "partial 16S ribosomal RNA". It matches the Rfam family "Bacterial small subunit ribosomal RNA", at positions 524 to 776 of the family's 1533-position model. The record is from RNAcentral.
UACGUAGGGUGCAAGCGUUAAUCGGAAUUACUGGGCGUAAAGCGUGCGCAGGCGGUGAUGUAAGACAGUUGUGAAAUCCCCGGGCUCAACCUGGGAACUGCAUCUGUGACUGCAUCGCUGGAGUGCGGCAGAGGGGGAUGGAAUUCCGCGUGUAGCAGUGAAAUGCGUAGAUAUGCGGAGGAACACCGAUGUCGAAGGCAAUCCCCUGGGCCUGCACUGACGCUCAUGCACGAAAGCGUGGGGAGCAAACAGG